This 468-nucleotide ribosomal RNA is filed under the name uncultured bacterium. RNAcentral describes it as "partial 16S ribosomal RNA". It matches the Rfam family "Bacterial small subunit ribosomal RNA", at positions 28 to 507 of the family's 1533-position model. The record is from RNAcentral.
GACGAACGCUGGCGGCGUGCUUAACACAUGCAAGUCGAACGGAAAGGCCCUGCUUUUGUGGGGUGCUCGAGUGGCGAACGGGUGAGUAACACGUGAGUAACCUGCCCUUGACUUUGGGAUAACUUCAGGAAACUGGGGCUAAUACCGGAUAGGAGCUCCUGCUGCAUGGUGGGGGUUGGAAAGUUUCGGCGGUUGGGGAUGGACUCGCGGCUUAUCAGCUUGUUGGUGGGGUAGUGGCUUACCAAGGCUUUGACGGGUAGCCGGCCUGAGAGGGUGACCGGCCACAUUGGGACUGAGAUACGGCCCAGACGCCUACGGGAGGCAGCAGGGGGGAAUAUUGCACAAUGGGCGGAAGCCUGAGGCAGCAACGCCGCGUGCGGGAUGACGGCCUUCGGGUUGUAAACCGCUUUCGCCUGUGACGAAGCGUGAGUGACGGUAAUGGGUAAAGAAGCACCGGCUAACUACGUG